UCCUAGUUAACCUAGGCAGUCUCACUAGAGUCCCCACCUUACGUGUUGGCAACUAAUGAUAAGGGUUGCGCUCGUUGCUGGACUUAACCAAACACCUCACGGCACGAGCUGACGACAGCCAUGCAGCACCUGUACAGAGACCCUUGCGGGAUGUAACAUUUCUGCUACAGUCCUCUGUAUGUCAAACCUGGGUAAGGUUCUUCGCGUUGCAUCGAAUUAAACCACAUGCUCCACUGCUUGUGCGGGCCCCCGUCAAUUCUUUUGAGUUUCACCCUUGCGAGCGUACUCCCCAGGCGGUAUACUUAUCGCGUUCGCUCCGACACAGUCGGGGUUGAGCCCAACUACAUCAAGUAUACAUCGUUUACGGCAAGGACUAC
Molecule: unclassified non-coding RNA, 377 nt
Filed under: uncultured Simkaniaceae bacterium
Lineage: Bacteria; Pseudomonadati; Chlamydiota; Chlamydiia; Parachlamydiales; Simkaniaceae
Description: contains 16S-23S intergenic spacer region
Source: RNAcentral